This 24-nucleotide non-coding RNA is filed under the name Arabidopsis thaliana (thale cress). Lineage: Eukaryota; Viridiplantae; Streptophyta; Magnoliopsida; Brassicales; Brassicaceae. The record is from RNAcentral.
GAGCUCUAACUAGUGGAAUGGUAC